CACAGUGCAGUGAUUUGACUUUUUUAUCAUUGUGAUCUUUUAGUCUGACCUCCUUUAUAACACGGUAGAGGAGACUUGGAUUAAUUAUUUCUUAAUUGAAGCAGAGUAGAGCUUCUGGAAAGAUGUCAUAUCCUGCUUUAAAAAUGAACAUGAUGGAGGUCCUGGCAGAAAAGUGGCGAAGGACUCCACUAAUGGUAUGCGCUCUCGGGCAGGUGAGUGGGAAUCAGCGACUCCCCCAGCCAAGGAACAGAGCUUACCCAGGAUCUGCAGCAGGAGAAGGUCACAUCACUUAAGGAGGAGUGAGAGCCUCUGCCACGCAAAGGAGUGACAAAUUCAAUUGCAUCUCUACCUCCACAGCAAGUCUCAUGGAGGUGGCUAUGAGGAUUAAAUUGAAAUUGUGCACCUCCAAAAAGGAAAGGACUCAGCAGAUGGAGAAUGUUGGUGUGCUUGGGGAGCAGGAAACAACUGCGUGCUCAAGAGUGUUAAAACAAGAAACUGAGUGUUCCUGGUGCCAGGUCAUGGGGGGAAAUUUUGUGCCUUUGCAAAGCAGUGCUUUUCAAAGAGCCUGGGAGACUGUGAUUUCCUGAACUUUUAAAUUUGCGACAAAGAAAUCAUGUCUACAGCAUGUUUAAAGGACUUGAGUGAAAAUGUUCUUGUGGGCUCUGGUUUGCUCUUUCCAGCCCUGGCUGAGGGAGUGCUGAGGUGAGCAGGGGGUGCAGCCCAGUGUGGAAGGGUUUGGAUGUCAGUGCAAGCAGUGUCACCCUGGUAAGUCCAAAACACCUCUUGGAAGGUGAGUCAGGAAAGGAGAAGGUUCUGGAAGAUUUGGGUGUCUGAAAUGUGUCCCCAUCCUCCUCCCUGCUGCUGGGGAUGCUCCAGCCUGCAAGGACCCCACUGUUGGGUGCUGUGGGCAGGCUCAGGACACACUGCAUGGUUCGUUACCUGCAGAUGGAGGCUGAGCAGGGAUCACAGAACUGCCAAGGCUGGCACAGACCUGGGGGAAAAUGAGUCCAAGCAUUAACCCAGCAUUAACCCACUGUGCUCACACUAAACCAAAUCCCCAGGUGCCACAUCCAGGUGCCUUCAGAACACUCCCAGGAAUUGUGAUUCCAUCCCUUCGCUGCUACACCCUGAGUAGAUUUAACUUUCUUAGUGACUUUUUUCUCCCUUCACUUGUAUUGUUUCCCUGAAAGUGAAGAGUAUCUUCGUUUUCUAAUUUUGAAAAUUCUAUAUGAAAUUGUGCAAAUGGCUCCUCAAACUUGACAGAAGACCUAUGGGGUAAUGCAGUGAAGCUUAGUCUUAACAAAAUUACCACAAAUUGUGCUAAGAGCAUCAUAACUUAAAAUAACAUAAAAUAAGUGAAGGUUUUCUGAAAAGUAGUGCAUCCAUUUAAUGUUUAUCUGCAAAACUAAGCACACUGAAUGUAUAAUAAAUAACAAGAAAGAACUUUUGGCA
Zonotrichia albicollis (white-throated sparrow) is the source of this 1452-nucleotide long non-coding RNA. NCBI's taxonomy places the organism in Eukaryota, Metazoa, Chordata, Aves, Passeriformes, Passerellidae. The record is from Ensembl.